Chelonia mydas (Green sea turtle) is the source of this 1890-nucleotide long non-coding RNA. RefSeq lists it as uncharacterized. NCBI's taxonomy places the organism in Eukaryota, Metazoa, Chordata, Testudines, Cheloniidae. The record is from RefSeq and is a predicted model, not a curated record. The transcript has 2 exons.
GACAGCUAAGGACAGCCCCAUUAACAGGAGCCGGCACUAGAAGUGACACUAUCCAUGAAGAGGAACUACCUUAUCUCAGAAGUCAGAAACACUAGCAAUAGCCAAACAAGCUUAGGGUCCAAUUGAACUCCCAGUACAGUCAAGGGGAGUAUUUCCAUAUGCUUUAAUGGGACUGGAUCAGGCCCAUAAGUUAAUUGUCUUAGGUUCUCCAUUCUAUUUUUGGAGAUUUGUUCAGCUGAAAAAGGAACCAGAUUGGCCGAAGUUUCUUUCUACUUUACAUUUAGUGGGCAGAUGGGAAAGGACUUCAGGGAAGAUGACUGUGGAGAAAACCACUGAGCUGUGGUAAAUCAAGAGCUGACAACAAGCCAAAAAAUCUCAGAGUAGAAGAGCACAGUGAGAAACCAGACAGGAAGAAGCAAGCUGCUGCUGUAGUGGCCUUGAGGGGUUCCCCCUCCACACCUGUGGAGUGCCUGAGUCAGAUAAGGAGGAGAAAGAAGAGGAUGGGGAAAGCCAGAGCUGCAUCAGACCACUAGCAGAGCGCCUGCAGGGUGCUGACUAUAUGGAGAAGGAAAGAGUGGACUGGAGAAAGGCCAAGGAGUCCCAGCAGGAAAAGGAGAGGAAGGUGCACCAGGAAAUAAUGGGGCUUCUCCAGCAGCAAACAUGGAUGCUGCAGACUCUUGUGGUCCUACAGUGUCAACAACCGCAGGCUCGCUUCCCUUUGCAGUGCAUGGAGAACUCAAUUACAGCAGCUCCCUAGACCCCCAUCAACAUUCCACAUGGCAUCACCCCUACCACUCCACACCAGGGGACUGUAAGGCCCACCACAGCUUCACGUAUACUAACCUGUGAGAGGCAUGGUAGCUAUAUGUUUAGCAAAAACAGACAUGAACGUUCCUUCCUCUUAACUUCUGUUCCAUUAAUUUAUUUACUUGCUUUUAACUUGCACAGAACGGUAUUUGCAUGCGCACAUGCUAACUGCCCCGGCUGUAUGCCGACAUAACUUGCGGCAGCAAAAGUUUGUAGUGUCGACAUGGCCUUAGUACAUCUACACUGCCAUGAGAGGUGGGACUGUAGAUACACCUGAGCUAACUUUGAUCUAGCUAGUUUGACUAACCACAACAGCGAAGCUGCAGCAGCCCCUGGCUACACAAUGAGAGCCUGGGUAUGUGCUUGAGUGGCUAACCCUGUGCUGCCAGGACUUCACUGCAGUCACACCUCUCAUGGCAGCGAAGACAUACCCUCAGAGCUGGUCUACACUGAAAAGUUACAUCACCAUAGCAACCUCUCAGGGGUGUGAAAAAUCCAUACCGGUGAGAGACGUCAUUAACCCAACCUAAUCCCCAGCGUAGACAGAGAUAGGUCGUCAGAGGAAUUCUUGUGCCAGCCUAGCUUUUGGGGAGGUGGUGGGGAAUCUUUCCCCUGAAUACAUGGCUCAAGGUGCCCUUUAACAGAAUCCUGAGGAGAGGAAGAGUCCAUGUUGACUGGCCUGAGAAGACUGUUUAAUUACUGACAACAAAAUCCAAUGUGUAUUAAAUCAAUAUGGGCACAAUCCUAGAAGAUGUUGUGCACCCUCAAUUCUCAUGAAAUCCUGCAGAGUUGAGGAUGCCCAGCACCCCCCAGGAUCAGCCCUUAAAACUGGAACAAUUCCAUUGUUUGCAAUGUUUAACAAUGAAAAUGAAAGAGAAAUACCAUGGAGGUGUUCUGAAUGGAAGACAGGAGUCAUGCCACAGACCUGAAUUGCCAUCUCUGAAAAAUUUUCUCCUGUUGCUUGGAGAAUAUCUCCCAGCCGGAAAAUUGGGCAGCCUGGUGCAGUUAUCUUGUUGAAUGUGCACGAAAUAUUCAAUUUUGGUAAAAAGUUUCUUCUGCAAAGAACCACAAAUUAUUUGAAAA